This 3072-nucleotide ribosomal RNA is filed under the name Acidimicrobiales bacterium. RNAcentral's name for it is "23S ribosomal RNA". It matches the Rfam family "Bacterial large subunit ribosomal RNA". Lineage: Bacteria; Bacillati; Actinomycetota; Acidimicrobiia; Acidimicrobiales. The record is from RNAcentral.
CAAGCUACUAAGGGCCAACGGUGGAUGCCUCGGCGCCUACUGCCGAUGAAGGACGUGUCAGGCUGCGAUAAGCCACGGGGAGCUGCCGAGAAAGCGUCGAUCCGUGGAUCUCCGAAUGGGGGAACCCGGCACCCGUAAUGGGGUGUCACUCCCGCCUGAACACAUAGGGCGGGUAGAGGGAACUCGGGGAACUGAAACAUCUCAGUACCCGGUAGGAAAGGAAAGCAACAGCGACUCCCUGAGUAGCGGCGAGCGAAACGGGACCAGCCCAAACCGGCCUGGUGGAAAAGCCCGGUGGCGUUGCCAGGUCGGGGUAGUGGGACCCGACGGGAGGGGCACCGGACCCUCCACGGAGUCACAAAGUCAGUCGCUAGCAGAAGCGUUCUGGAAAGGCGCGCCGAAGAGGGUAAGAGCCCCGUACGCGAAAGCGACUGACCUCCGGUCGGUGUUCCCAAGUAGCGCCGGAUCCGGGAAAGCCGGCGUGAAUCUGCGAGGACCACCUCGUAAGGCUAAGUACACGUAGGCGACCGAUAGCGAACCAGUACCGUGAGGGAAAGGUGAAAAGCACCCCGGGAGGGGAGUGAAAUAGACCUGAAACCGUUGGUCUACAAGCAGUCAGAGCGUCGUCGUCGUUCUUCGGAACGGCGGCCGCGAUGGCGUGCCUUUUGAAGAAUGAGCCAACGAGUUACGGUCAGUGGCGAGGUUAACCAGUGAUGGGAAGCCGAAGCGAAAGCGAGUCCUAAAAGGGCGCAUAGUCGCUGGCCGUAGACCCGAAGCCGAGUGAUCUAGCCAUGGGCAGGGUGAAGCGAGGGUAAGACCUCGUGGAGGCCCGAACCCACUCAGGUUGAAAACUGGGGGGAUGACCUGUGGCUAGGGGUGAAAGGCCAAGCAAACUCGGUGAUAGCUGGUUCUCCGCGAAAUGCAUUUCGGUGCAGCGUCAGGCGUUCAGUCGUGGAGGUAGAGCACUGGAUGGGCUAGGGGGCCUACAAGCUUACCGACCCCAGCCAAACUCCGAAUGCCACGACUCCAGAGCCUGGCAGUGAGUCCUCGGGGGAUGAGCUUCGAGGACGAGAGGGAGACAGCCCAGACCGCCAGCUAAGGCCCCCAAUUCCGGGCUAAGUGGUAAACGAUGUGGGACCGCCAAGACAGCCAGGAGGUUGGCUUAGAAGCAGCCAUCCUUGAAAGAGUGCGUAACAGCUCACUGGUCGAGUGGUCCUGCGCGGACAAUGUAACGGGGCUCAAGCCCGGAGCCGAAGCUGCGGGUCCGUGCAUUGCACGGGCGGUAGCGGAGCGUCGAUCUCGGAGUGAAGUCUCCGCGUGAGCGGGGGUGGACCGAGGUCGAGUGAGAAUGUUGGCAUGAGUAGCGAAAGAGGGGUGAGAAACCCCUCCGCCGGAUGCCCAAGGGUUCCUGGGGAAGGCUAAUCCGCCCAGGGUGAGUCGGGACCUAAGGCGAGGCCGAGAGGCGUAGCCGAUGGACAACCGGUCAAUAUUCCGGUACCACCGAGCCCGCGCCAAAGCCGAACCGGCACCACCAGGGGCUGCCCGUCUUCGGACGGGCGAACCGAAGUGGAGCCGGGGAGGCUAGCGAUGGGGGGACGCAGAAGGGUAGGUGAACCCGAGCGGUGGUCGACUCGGGGUAAGCGUGUAGGGCGGGGUCCAGGCAAAUCCGGGCCCCACACAAGCCUGAGACGCGAUGCCGACCUCGAAAAGAGGGAAGUCACUGAUCCCAUGCUGCCGAGAAAAGCCUCUAGCGAGCUGGCUCGGUGCCCGUACCCCAAACCGACACAGGUGGGCAGGUAGAGAAUACCGAGGCGAUCGGGAGAACGGUGGUUAAGGAACUCGGCAAAUUGCCUCCGUAACUUCGGGAGAAGGAGGACCCCAUUAGGGUGAAGGCCCUCGCGGCCGGAGCUCGAAGGGGUGGCACAGGCCAGGGGGAAGCGACUGUUUACUAAAAACACAGCAGCGUGCCAAGCCGUAAGGCGACGUAUACGCUGUGACGCCUGCCCGGUGCCGGAAGGUUAAGGGGAAGGGUCAGCUCCUUCGGGAGCGAAGCUCUGAACCUAAGCCCCGGUAAACGGCGGCCGUAACUAUAACGGUCCUAAGGUAGCGAAAUUCCUUGUCGGGUAAGUUCCGACCUGCACGAAUGGCGUAACGACUUCCCCACUGUCUCAACCACCGACCCGGCGAAAUUGAAGUACGAGUAAAGAUGCUCGUUAGCUGCAGAAGGACGGAAAGACCCCGGGACCUUUACUACAGCCUGAUAUUGGGGUCUGGUAUGGGUUGUGUAGGAUAGGUGGGAGACUGUGAAGCCGGGACGCCAGUUCCGGUGGAGUCGUCCUUGAAAUACCACCCUUCUCAUGCUGGGCCUCUAACCCAGACCCGUGAUCCGGGCCGGGGACAGUGUCAGGUGGGUAGUUUGACUGGGGCGGUCGCCUCCUAAAAGGUAACGGAGGCGCCCAAAGGUUCCCUCAGCCUGGUCGGCAAUCAGGCGUCGAGUGCAAUGGCACAAGGGAGCUUGACUGCGAGACCGACGGGUCGAGCAGGUGCGAAAGCAGGGCAUAGUGAUCCGGCGGUUGCGUGUGGAAGCGCCGUCGCUCAACGGCUAAAAGGUACCCCGGGGAUAACAGGCUUAUCUUGCCCAAGAGUCCAUAUCGACGGCAAGGUUUGGCACCUCGAUGUCGGCUCAUCGCAUCCUGGGGCUGGAGCAGGUCCCAAGGGUUGGGCUGUUCGCCCAUUAAAGCGGUACGCGAGCUGGGUUUAGAACGUCGUGAGACAGUUCGGUCCCUAUCCUCUGCAGCCGUAGGAGAUCUGAGGAGGGCUGUCCCCAGUACGAGAGGACCGGGACGGACGCAGCUCUCGUGUGCCAGUUGUCCCGCCAGGGGCACGGCUGGUUGGCGACCUGCGGAAGGGAUAACCGCUGAAGGCAUCUAAGUGGGAAGCCCGCUCCAAGACGAGAUCUCCCACCGGGACAACCGGGUAAGGCCCGUGGUAGACGACCACGUCGAUAGGCCGGAGGUGUAAGCACGGCAACGUGUUCAGCCGACCGGUACUAAUCGGCCGAGGGCUUGGUCA